CCUGCUCGAGGUCAUCCGCAGGAUCGUCCACGCCAACCCUGAGUAGUAGACCUGGGACUCUCUGGGGUCCUUCUUCGAGGUAGAUCAAUUCAUUCCUUCUGUUUCUUUACUUUGCUUAUCUUUUGGCUUUUAUAUUGACUCCCUGGCCACUCUUGCAGGUGGGACACCAGCUCAUCACCAACAUCGAGGCGAUGAACAAUGCCAUGAAGGAGACCGCCCAG
This 221-nucleotide long non-coding RNA is filed under the name Elaeis guineensis (African oil palm). RNAcentral's name for it is "long non-coding RNA (EGUI_LNC042909)". The record is from RNAcentral. Lineage: Eukaryota; Viridiplantae; Streptophyta; Magnoliopsida; Arecales; Arecaceae.